Molecule: ribosomal RNA, 497 nt
Filed under: uncultured bacterium
Lineage: Bacteria
Description: partial 16S ribosomal RNA
Rfam family: Bacterial small subunit ribosomal RNA
Source: RNAcentral
GACGAACGCUGGCGGCGUGCCUAAUACAUGCAAGUUGAGCGCUGAAGGUUGGUACUUGUACCAACUGGAUGAGCAGCGAACGGGUGAGUAACGCGUGGGGAAUCUGCCUUUGAGCGGGGGACAACAUUUGGAAACGAAUGCUAAUACCGCAUAAAAACUUUAAACACAAGUUUUAAGUUUGAAAGAUGCAAUUGCAUCACUCAAAGAUGAUCCCGCGUUGUAUUAGCUAGUUGGUGAGGUAAAGGCUCACCAAGGCGAUGAUACAUAGCCGACCUGAGAGGGUGAUCAGCCACAUUGGGACUGAGACACGGCCCAAACUCCUACGGGAGGCAGCAGUAGGGAAUCUUCGGCAAUGGACGAAAGUCUGACCGAGCAACGCCGCGUGAGUGAAGAAGGUUGUCGGAUCGUAAAACUCUGUUGGUAGAGAAGAACGUUGGUGAGAGUGGAAAGCUCAUCAAGUGACGGUAACUACCCAGAAAGGGACGGCUAACUACGUG